RNAcentral lists this ribosomal RNA (129 nucleotides) under Isothecium alopecuroides. RNAcentral's name for it is "5.8S ribosomal RNA". It matches the Rfam family "5.8S ribosomal RNA", at positions 27 to 154 of the family's 154-position model. From Rfam's summary of the family: 5.8S ribosomal RNA (5.8S rRNA) is a component of the large subunit of the eukaryotic ribosome. It is transcribed by RNA polymerase I as part of the 45S precursor that also contains 18S and 28S rRNA. Functionally, it is thought that 5.8S rRNA may be involved in ribosome translocation. Lineage: Eukaryota; Viridiplantae; Streptophyta; Bryopsida; Hypnales; Lembophyllaceae. RNAcentral also lists the same sequence under 1 other name. The record is from RNAcentral.
CUUGCAACGAUGAAGAACGCAGCGAAAUGCGAUACGUAGUGUGAAUUGCAGAAUUCCGCGAAUCAUCGAGUCUUUGAACGCAAGUUGCGCCCGAGGCUUGUCCAAGGGCAUUUCCGCUAGAGCGUCACC